UGUCUUGAGCGAGCUCCUCAAUCUGAGUCUCAGUUCUCGCGUCUGUGACAGGAAGGUUAUGCUGCCUAUGAGCUCCUGUUCUUCUGACGAAAAAUGGAAUGCAGAAGAUCAUCAAUGGAGUGCUUUCAAGUGAAUCACAAUCACACGCAUGUGCAAAACCAUCGGUGAAGUCUAUAUGUGCAAUUAAAUGCCUAAUUAUGCUUAAA
Molecule: long non-coding RNA, 206 nt
Organism: Neofelis nebulosa (Clouded leopard)
Lineage: Eukaryota; Metazoa; Chordata; Mammalia; Carnivora; Felidae
Exons: 2
Source: RefSeq, a predicted model, not a curated record